This is a non-coding RNA of Glycine max (soybean), 113 nucleotides long. NCBI's taxonomy places the organism in Eukaryota, Viridiplantae, Streptophyta, Magnoliopsida, Fabales, Fabaceae. The record is from Rfam.
UUCUUAUUGAAUGAUGAUUGUCACGUAUCAUGUGGAUGUUAAUUCCAUAAAAGAUGAAAUACAUUGUUGUUUUCAUUGACCCAUCAAAACAUGACACGUGAAAGUCAUCAUUC